GCCACCCUAGCUCAGCUGGUAGAGCAGCUCACUCGUAAUGAGCAGGUCGUCGGUUCGAAUCCGACGGGUGGCUCAA
RNAcentral lists this transfer RNA (76 nucleotides) under Fidelibacterota bacterium. Its description in RNAcentral is "tRNA-Thr". It matches the Rfam family "tRNA". From Rfam's summary of the family: Transfer RNA (tRNA) molecules are approximately 80 nucleotides in length. Their secondary structure includes four short double-helical elements and three loops (D, anti-codon, and T loops). Lineage: Bacteria; Pseudomonadati; Fidelibacterota. The record is from RNAcentral.